CAAAAAACCAAUAACGGCCUGACCAAUCAAAUUACAAAAGACCAAUAACAAGCCACCAACAAAGAUAUAGUUACUCAUCAUGCGCAUCUAAUAUCACGGCAAAAAACAUGUACAAUUAAUUUUCUAAAAUCUUGCAACUUGUUGAGCUCCACAUGAGUUUACAACGUAAUCAUCCGAACAAGUUCUCCAAUCCGGCGAAAUCAUACACGCAGAGGUGUCGAACUUCAUUGCCUAAGUCCAGGAAAAGGUCAAAUGCAAUCCUCAGACGAUCCAAACUUGUCACCUUUUAACAUACAUCACCUUUCAUUCUUAGUUGAAUGCAAUAGUAAAAUAUAGAUAAAGAGAACAAAUAAAUCAAAUUGCUCAUUCCUUAGUUAGCUUACAUGCAACUUGAAGCCAGACUUAACAUCACCACAAUGUUCCAUGAAUUUUGCAAUGUAAAUCCCGCAAUCAUUGCUGAACAAGGAAAAAAAAUUAAUUUUCCAGAUCAAGUCACAUUAAAUAAAUUCGUCUUAUGGUAAAGUAACAAUAACUCCUACCCAUUGCCCUGUUUGGGACAAUUUUCAGGCAUAGUAAAUUUGUAGUUGUUCACAUCUCCUUUAUUUCCAUGGCCAAAUCCAUAUGACAGUGCCUCUUCAAU
This 640-nucleotide long non-coding RNA is filed under the name Coffea arabica (coffee). RNAcentral describes it as "long non-coding RNA (CARA_LNC006769)". The record is from RNAcentral. Lineage: Eukaryota; Viridiplantae; Streptophyta; Magnoliopsida; Gentianales; Rubiaceae.